This 502-nucleotide ribosomal RNA is filed under the name uncultured bacterium. RNAcentral describes it as "partial 16S ribosomal RNA". It matches the Rfam family "Bacterial small subunit ribosomal RNA", at positions 28 to 507 of the family's 1533-position model. The record is from RNAcentral.
GACGAACGCUGGCGACGUGCCUAAUACAUGCAAGUCGAACGAACCGCGACUAGGUGCUUGCACUUGGUCAAGGUGAGUGGCGAACGGGUGAGUAACACGUGGGUAACCUACCUCAUAGUGGGGGAUAACAGUCGGAAACGACUGCUAAUACCGCAUAGGACAUAGGAUCACAUGAUUCUGUGAGGAAAGGUGGCGCAAGCUAUCGCUAAGAGAUGGACCCGCGGUGCAUUAGCUAGUUGGUAGGGUAAAGGCCUACCAAGGCGAUGAUGCAUAGCCGACCUGAGAGGGUGAUCGGCCACAUUGGGACUGAGACACGGCCCAAACUCCUACGGGAGGCAGCAGUAGGGAAUCUUCCGCAAUGGACGCAAGUCUGACGGAGCAACGCCGCGUGAGUGAAGAAGGUCUUCGGAUCGUAAAGCUCUGUUGUUAGAGAAGAACAGCGCAUAGAGUAACUGUUAUGCGUGUGACGGUAUCUAACCAGAAAGCCACGGCUAACUACGUG